RNAcentral lists this ribosomal RNA (332 nucleotides) under uncultured soil bacterium. RNAcentral's name for it is "bacterial SSU rRNA". It matches the Rfam family "Bacterial small subunit ribosomal RNA", at positions 26 to 362 of the family's 1533-position model. The record is from RNAcentral.
AGAUUGAACGCUGGCGGCAGGCCUAACACAUGCAAGUCGAGCGGUAGAGAGGUGCUUGCAUCUCUUGAGAGCGGCGGACGGGUGAGUAAUGCCUAGGAAUCUGCCUAGUGGUGGGGGAUAACGUUCGGAAACGGACGCUAAUACCGCAUACGUCCUACGGGAGAAAGCGGGGGACCUUCGGGCCUCGCGCCAUUAGAUGAGCCUAGGUCGGAUUAGCUAGUUGGUGAGGUAAUGGCUCACCAAGGCGACGAUCCGUAACUGGUCUGAGAGGAUGAUCAGUCACACUGAACUGAGACACGGUCCAGACUCCUACGGGAGCAGCAGUGGGGAAC